RNAcentral lists this ribosomal RNA (112 nucleotides) under Caerostris darwini. Lineage: Eukaryota; Metazoa; Arthropoda; Arachnida; Araneae; Araneidae. The record is from RNAcentral.
AACGGCCAUACCAUGCUGAAUAUACCGGUUCUCGUUAGAUCACCGAAGUCAAGCAUCAUUGGGCGCGAUCAGUACUUGGGUGGGUGAACACCUGGGAACACCGCGUGCCGUU